Bombus terrestris (buff-tailed bumblebee) is the source of this 1588-nucleotide long non-coding RNA. RefSeq lists it as uncharacterized. The record is from RefSeq and is a predicted model, not a curated record. The transcript is spliced from 2 exons. NCBI's taxonomy places the organism in Eukaryota, Metazoa, Arthropoda, Insecta, Hymenoptera, Apidae.
AAAUUUUCAAUCAUUAAGUCUGCAAUAUAAUGUCCUGUAUUACUCACAACUGUUUUCUACCGAUAUGGCGAUUGUGUAGCUCUAGAACAACUCCCCAUUCUUAAAUUAUUAAUUCUUAUAUCACCAUUAAAAUAUUCUUCCAGUGCUUCUAUACCCCACAGUUUUAGAACAUCGAACAUUUUUUCCGUCUAAGAAUUUCAUAAAUAUUUAAACAAACUACCAGCUUAUCGAAGAGAGGAUACGAAAAGGAAAUUAUAAAUUUUGUUAUUUGUAACGUUUAACAAGUUGAUGGCUGAUGAUGCUACGUUAGCGUCGUACGCGAAUGGUUUUCGAACGACACCGGAAAUGUUCAAAAGAAAAUACCAAAGAUCAGUCACAAUGGAAGAUCACAUUACUUCGAUGUUACGGUACCCUUUGCUAUAGAACGAUUUAUUGAUCAAACUUCCUGCAAUAUGCGUCCAAUUUUUAAUAGUUCUUGUUGUAAGGAUGAGGUCUAUCUGUGAUUCGCAAAAAACUUCCGAAUAAAAUCGCAGAUACACAAGCAAAGGUCGACAGAAUUUUUCGGUAAAUCUAGUAUCAAAAAAGUAACGUUUCCGCAGGAUGUUUUCCGUAAUGGUUCCGGCCAUCGAAUAAUACGAUUUCAGCACGUACGCGUCACCUUUUUUUGCUAUAUCUCGAUUUCUUGCGUUUGUUUCGUUUCAUUCAAACCGUGGAUUUAACGAGUUCCUGUCACGCCACGAGCCAAUGUUUUUCUCACGCUCAAAACCCAAUCGACGUAUUAAUUAAUCCAGAAAUAAAUUCUUUCGCGCUGUUAAGUAAAAUUAAAAAUACUCGUAACUCGUGCACAAAAGAAGGGAAUUAAGAUAUAAAUUAAGAAGGUGGGCGGGCGACGAGAUACGUUAUUAAUUUUGUCGCGUUACAAUCAUCCUUAGGAGAGAGAGGGAUGAAACGACACGCAGGCGCCUUAUCGUUUCACGCGGGUACUCCUUUACGCUCGCCCUUCGCCAAUUAUCACGAAGAGUCGGGGCUACGUUUAGCGAGACAACGACGUUAGACUGAAACAAUUAGGUAUAACCGCAUUAGCAUUACUUGUACGUAAACUUUCCGUCGCGUCUUCCAACAAGAAUGAUGCAGUACCGAGAUAAAAGGCACGGAAACUACGUCUUCGAGCUGAGAGUGGGUCAUUAUGAAAGAAUUCAAUGUUUUCGUACCAUUUGUGAUCGUUUCGUUGGAUGGCCUAGUCCAAUAAGUGAUCGCUGUUGGAUAAGCCUCACUGUGACAUUCCAGGACGAGAGUUUGGCCCUCAUAAGCGCCCACUAACUGGUUUUCAAUCCACACCAUUGGCUGAACUGCAAAGACAAUUUCUGAUAAUAAUUCGUAUAAAAUUUUUCUCGUAUAUUAAAUAUUUUGUUCAGUUACAUUACAUUAGGUCGAUUACAUUAGGGUCGAAAAUGUAAUAAUAGUUUAGAAAUUUAGGAAUAGUAUAGGAAUAUAUUUAAGCAACGAGAUAUUGUGUUGAGAUAUUAGCACUGUAUUUUCAAGAACUGUAGACUUCAUUUCAAUUGAUAUUAAAAGACAUUUUACCAUC